Molecule: long non-coding RNA, 1528 nt
Organism: Brassica rapa (field mustard)
Lineage: Eukaryota; Viridiplantae; Streptophyta; Magnoliopsida; Brassicales; Brassicaceae
Source: RefSeq, a predicted model, not a curated record
GUAGAAUGUGGUUAGAAAUUUUAAAACAUCAAUAAAAAUUAUAUGCUUCGGUAUAUAAAACAUUUACUAAAAACUCAAUAUUUUCGUUAACAUAUAGAUUUUGACAAAAUUUCAAAAAAUAUGACAAUAUUGUUUUAAUGCAAAGUUUCAACCUGUACUAACAUAUGAUGACGUUCAUAGGGGUUAGUAGUCUUUGUUGUCUCCGUUUUAAAAAAAAUAGUGAUUUUAUAGAGGUUAUUCUAUCGAUUUAGGGAGUAUUAUGAAGUUUUUCUAUAUUAAUUGAUAAUAAAUUAUAUUGAUUCCGAUAUUCCAUGAAAAGAGCUUAAAAUACCUUAAUAAAUAUGCAGAAUGUGGUUAGAAAUUUUAAAACAACACUAAAGAUUAUAUGCUUAGAAUAUAAAACAUUUACCAAAAACUCAAUAUUUUUGUAGGGGUUAACACAUCGAUUUUGAGAAAAAUUAAAAAAAAUAUUAUAAUAUUUUUUUAAUGCAUAGUUGCAUCAUGCACUAAUAUAUGAUAACGGUCAAAGAGGUUUGUAGCUUUUGUUGUCCCCGUUUUUCAGGAAAAUAGGGAUUUUAUAGUGGUAUUCCAUCGAUUUAGGGAAUAUUAUGAAGUUUUACUAAAUUAACUGAUAGAAAAAUUUUAAAGAUUCCAUAUAUCAUGAAAAAGAGCCUAAAAUACCUUAAUACAAAUGUAGAAUGUGGUUAGAAAUUUCAAAACAACACUAAAGAUUAUAUGCUUAAUAUAUAAAAUAUUUACCAAAAACUCAAUAUUUUUGUUGGGGUUAACACAUAGAUUUUGACAAAAUUUGAAAAAAUAUGACAAUAUUGUUUUAAUGCAUAGUUGCAUCCUUCACUAACAUAUGAUGAUGUUCAAAGAGGUUUGGAACCUUUGUUAUCCCCGUUUUUCAGUAAAAUAGUGAUUUUAUAGUGGUUAUCCCAUCGAUUUAGCGAAUAUUAUGAAGUUUUACUAAAUUAAUUGAUAAAAGAAUUAUAACAAUUCCCAUAUACUAUGAAAUAGAGCUUAAAAUACCUUAAUACAAAUGUAGAAUGUGGUUAGAAAUUUUAAAACAACACUAAAUAUUAUAUGCUUAGAAUAUAAAACAUUUACCAAAAACUCAAUAUUUUCGUAGGGGUUAUGCAUAGAUUUUGACAAAAUUUCAAAAAGUAUGAAAAUAUUGUUUUAAUGCAUAGUUGCAUCCUGCACUAACAUAUGAUGAUGUUCAAAGAGGUUUGGAGCCUUUGUUGUCCUGUUUUUCAGGAAAAUAGUGAUUUUAUAGUGGUUAUUCCAUCGAUUUAAGGAAUAUUACGAAGUUUUUACUAAAUUAAUUGAUAAAAAUUUAUAAAUUCUCAUAUACCAUUAAAAAGAGCAUAAAAUACCUUAAUACAAAUGUAGAAUGUGGUUAGAAAUUUAAAACAACACUAAAGAUUAUAUGCUUAGAAUAUAAAACAUUUACCAAAAACUCAAUAUUUUCGUAGGGGUUAACACAUCGAUUUUGACAAAAUUCAAAAAUAUGACAAUAUUUUUU